This is a long non-coding RNA of Homo sapiens (human), 2028 nucleotides long. The record is from Ensembl. Lineage: Eukaryota; Metazoa; Chordata; Mammalia; Primates; Hominidae.
AUACCAUUUCUCUCUCUGGUAUUCAUCUGUUCUUCCAGCUGCUCUUUUUGUGCAGACUGCAGCUGGCUGUGCAGCACUGUGGAUAAACUGCUGGUGCAAAUGUACAGAGAGGUCUGGACUGGGCGACUCCAGGAAUGGGGGAGAUUCUCCUUCAUAGACCAAUUUAGAAGUCACUUCCUCCAAGACGAUUGCCUUGAAUCAUUGACUGGAUUAUUUCUCCGCUGUGUGUUCUUCUAACAGCCUGAACAGAGCUAACACCAACACCGAGACACCACCAUGAACUCACCAGCCAUUGACUUCUCUGUUCUAUAGCUUUUUGCCUCUUUGGAAUAGGCAUGUCAUGGGUGCAGACAUCCAGCCCUUCAUAGACACUGCCAGCCGUUAACCCGAAGCCCUGCACAGCCACUUCCUCUCUGAACAGAAAAGACUGCCACAAGGGGAGAGACGGUCUUACCUUCCUGAGCCUGCCCUUGCCAGAGGAAGCCACUGCCACCGCAGAAGCACUUAGGAGCCUUUCCCACCUCCUUGCACUGAGACUUAUGGAACUCUUGAGGGCCCUAGUCUGUAAAAGUCCAUCCCCGGCCUGGCGCAGUUGCUCAUGCCUGUAAUCCCAGCACUUUGGGAGGCUGAGGUGGGUGGAUCAUGAGGUCAGGAGUUCGAGACCAGCCUGGCCAACAUGGUGAAACCCCAUCUCUACUAAAGAUACAAAAAAUUAGUCAGGCAUGAUGGUGCACACCUAUAAUCCCAGCCACUUGGGAGGCUGAGGCAGGAGAAUUGCUUGAACCCAGGAGAUGGAGGUUGCAGUGAGCCGAGAUCGCACCAUUGUACUGCAUCCUGGGUGACAGGAUGAGACUCCGUCUCAAAAAAAAAAAAAAAAAUCUAUCCCCAGAUCACGGUGCGCCUGUGAGACAGAGCUGUCAAUGUCCUCUUUCCCUUCCUUCUCAUUUGCUGUUUCAAUAGGGCUUCAUCAGCCUGAGUUCUUUAUUAGAAUUGACCUGCAUCAAUCCAGUGCCCCCCUCAUACCACCUACUAGGGAAGGCUGCAUUCUACAUUACGGUCUUCAGGGAUCCUCUCUGGGGCCCCACAUGCUUCCCUUUUUGUUUACCUGUGUCUCGGGGCAAUUUUAAUCUUAGUCUUAUACUUUUCAUUUAAGCAGGUUAGGCUACACUAUACACUUACAGAUUUUGCCAGUAGAAGCUUUGAGACUUCACAUCUUGUAAAAUAAAAAAAAAAAAUUGUACUAAAGAUAACAAUGUUUAUGGUUGUGAAGCUUUUUUUGUAAGCAAAUAGUCUGGUGAAACUGAAGUUCAAAGGUGUUUGUGUUGGGUAGCUGUGUCAGUAUGCUUGAUUUAUGGUAAGGCCAAGUCUGUUGGAUUAGAUAUUAGAUAUUCACAGUAAUGUCAAAACUAAGGAAUAUAGUCUGAAUAAUUACAAUAACUAUUUUAUAUUAUUGCAAACAACUUAAAAACUAUUGUGACUUGAUUGAUUCAUACUAUGCAUGGAUACAGUUUCAAAACCUGUUUAGACCAUCAGAAAGUUUUAAUGAAUAAUGUUAGCAAAAUAACCACAAGUAAAGUGUUACCGGAAAAUGCAGUAUAAGCAUCACACUGACAGUUGUAGCUGACCCUUUUGUUUUGAUCAGUGGUUCUCGAUGUGUACCAAAAUUACUUGGUGAGAUUUCUUUUUAUUGUGGGAAUAACACUUAGCAUGAAAUCUAACCUUUAAACAAAACUAAUGUGCAAUAUGAUAUUGUUAACUCUAGGUACAAUGUUGCAUAGCAGAUUUCUAGAAUGUAAUUAUCUUGUAUAAUUGAAACUUUACACCAAUUGAAUGGCAGCUCAGUUCUUCCUUCUCCCAUUUUCCUGGCAAUUAUCAUUCUGUUCUCUGCUUCUCUGUGUUUGACAUAAUGCUAAGUGAAAUGAGCCAGUCACACAAGGACAAAUCUUUCAUUGAAGGAGUCUUUUAUCACCAAAAGUAUUUAGAAUUCCUGGCACUUGGUGAUAAUAAAAGCAAAACCAUUUCACUUGG